GGAUAACCGUGGUAAUUCUAGAGCUAAUACAUGCUGAAAAUCCCGACUUCGGAAGGGAGGUAUUUAUUAGAUUAAAAACCAAUGCCCUCUGGGCUCCUUGGUGAUUCAUAAUAACUUUUCGAAUCGCACGGCCUUGCGCCGGCGAUGGUUCAUUCAAAUUUCUUCCCUAUCAACUUUCGAUGUUUGGGUAUUGGCCAAACAUGGUCGCAACGGGUAACGGAGGGUUAGGGCUCGACCCCGGAGAAGGAGCCUGAGAAACGGCUACUACAUCCAAGGAAGGCAGCAGGCGCGCAAAUUACCCAAUCCCGAUUCGGGGAGGUAGUGACAAUAAAUACUGAUACAGGGCUCUUUUGGGUCUUGUAAUUGGAAUGAGUACAAUUUAAAUCUCUUAACGAGGAACAAUUGGAGGGCAAGUCUGGUGCCAGCAGCCGCGGUAAUUCCAGCUCCAAUAGCGUAUAUUAAAGUUGUUGUGGUUAAAAAGCUCGUAGUUGAACCUUGGGCCUGGCUGGCCGGUCCGCCUCACCGCGUGUACUGGUCCGGCCGGGCCUUUCCCUCUGUGGAACCUCAUGCCCUUCACUGGGUGUGGCGGGGAAACAGGACUUUUACUUUGAAAAAAUUAGAGUGCUCCAGGCAGGCCUAUGCUCGAAUACAUUAGCAUGGAAUAAUAAAAUAGGACGCGUGGUUCUAUUUUGUUGGUUUCUAGGACCGCCGUAAUGAUUAAUAGGGACAGUCGGGGGCAUCAGUAUUCAAUUGUCAGAGGUGAAAUUCUUAGAUUUAUUGAAGACUAACUACUGCGAAAGCAUUUGCCAAGGAUGUUUUCAUUAAUCAGGAACGAAAGUUAGGGGAUCGAAGACGAUCAGAUACCGUCGUAGUCUUAACCAUAAACUAUGCCGACUAGGGAUCGGACGAUGUUAUUUUUUGACGCGUUCGGCACCUUACGAGAAAUCAAAGUGCUUGGGCUCCAGGGGGAGUAUGGUCGCAAGGCUGAAACUUAAAGAAAUUGACGGAAGGGCACCACCAGGGGUAAACGCUUAUGCAGCCGCAGCAGCUCUGCUCCAAAAAGCAGCCCGAAAGGGUCAGUGGUGUUCCUGUCCGCGCUACGGCGCGGCGAACUAAGUGCUAGUCUCUCCGGAGGCGACACCCUCAAAUUGCGGGAAACUUCUAAAACCAGUGCCACCAAGCCGGCGUCGAAAAGGCGUCGGUGGCCGGGGCAAUGACCUAGGGUAUGGUAAAAGCGCACUGGAUAUAUGGACAAUCCGCAGCCAAGCCUCGUCACGGGGAAGGUUCAGAGACUAAAUGGGGGUGGGUAGUGUGCUGGAGGAUUCGUCCCCCGAGCGCUCGCUCACACACUGCUUAAGAUAUAGUCCGCCCGCGCUGGAAACGGCGCGGAUUAGCAAGCUCAAAUAAACGGGAGCCUGCGGCUUAAUUUGACUCAACACGGGGAAACUCACCAGGUCCAGACACAAUGAGGAUUGACAGAUUGAGAGCUCUUUCUUGAUUUUGUGGGUGGUGGUGCA
This 1517-nucleotide ribosomal RNA is filed under the name Beauveria bassiana. RNAcentral describes it as "bacterial SSU rRNA". It matches the Rfam family "Eukaryotic small subunit ribosomal RNA", at positions 141 to 1284 of the family's 1831-position model. Lineage: Eukaryota; Fungi; Ascomycota; Sordariomycetes; Hypocreales; Cordycipitaceae. The record is from RNAcentral.